Molecule: signal recognition particle RNA, 99 nt
Filed under: Spirochaetota bacterium
Lineage: Bacteria; Pseudomonadati; Spirochaetota
Description: Spirochaetes bacterium signal recognition particle sRNA small type
Rfam family: Bacterial small signal recognition particle RNA
About the family: The signal recognition particle (SRP) is a universally conserved ribonucleoprotein involved in the co-translational targeting of proteins to membranes. Archaeal SRP consists of a 7S RNA and homologues of the eukaryotic SRP19 and SRP54 proteins.
Source: RNAcentral
AAUCGGGCGCAGCUCAAGGCUCAGGCACCCAACCCCGCCAGGCCCGGAAGGGAGCAACGGUAAGUGUACUGGGUCUGUGAGACUGUUAGCUCGGUUGGA